This 125-nucleotide non-coding RNA is filed under the name Roseburia sp. RNAcentral's name for it is "FMN sequence". It matches the Rfam family "FMN riboswitch aptamer (RFN element)". From Rfam's summary of the family: The RFN element is a highly conserved domain that is found frequently in the 5'-untranslated regions of prokaryotic mRNAs that encode for flavin mononucleotide (FMN) biosynthesis and transport proteins. This element is a metabolite-dependent riboswitch that directly binds FMN in the absence of proteins. Lineage: Bacteria; Bacillati; Bacillota; Clostridia; Lachnospirales; Lachnospiraceae. The record is from RNAcentral.
GAAAAUCUUCAGGGCAGGGUGAAAGUCCCUACCGGCGGUAAAGCCCGCGAGCACUAUGGUGCAGAUUCGGUGAGCUACAAGCAACUCCGAAGCCGACAGUACAGUCUGGAUAAAAGAAGAGAUAG